GACGAACGCUGGCGGCGUGCUUAACACAUGCAAGUCGAACGGAAAGGCCCUGCUUUUGUGGGGUGCUCGAGUGGCGAACGGGUGAGUAACACGUGAGUAACCUGCCCUUGACUUUGGGAUAACUUCAGGAAACUGGGGCUAAUACCGGAUAGGAGCUCCUGCUGCAUGGUGGGGGUUGGAAAGUUUCGGCGGUUGGGGAUGGACUCGCGGCUUAUCAGCUUGUUGGUGGGGUAGUGGCUUACCAAGGCUUUGACGGGUAGCCGGCCUGAGAGGGUGACCGGCCACAUUGGGACUGAGAUACGGCCCAGACUCCUACGGGAGGCAGCAGUGGGGAAUAUUGCACAAUGGGCGGAAGCCUGAUGCAGCAACGCCGCGUGCGGGAUGACGGCCUUCGGGUUGUAAACCGCUUUCGCCUGUGACGAAGCGUGAGUGACGGUAAUGGAUAAAGAAGCACCGGCUAACUACGUGCCAGCAGCCGCGGUGAUACGUAGGGUGCGAGCGUUGUCCGGAUUUAUUGGGCGUAAAGAGCUCGUAGGUGGUUGAUCGCGUCGGAAGUGUAAUCUUGGGGCUUAACCCUGAGCGUGCUUUCGAUACGGGUUGACUUGAGGAAGGUAGGGGAGAAUGGAAUUCCUGGUGGAGCGGUGGAAUGCGCAGAUAUCAGGAGGAACACCAGUGGCGAAGGCGGUUCUCUGGGCCUUUCCUGACGCUGAGGAGCGAAAGCGUGGGGAGCGAACAGGCUUAGAUACCCUGGUAGUCCACGCUGUAAACGGUGGGUACUAGGUGUGGGGUCCAUUCCACGGGUUCCGUGCCGUAGCUAACGCUUUAAGUACCCCGCCUGGGGAGUACGGCCGCGAGGCUAAAACUCAAAGGAAUUGACGGGGCCCCGCACAAGCGGCGGAGCAUGCGGAUUAAUUCGAUGCAACGCGUAGAACCUUACCUGGGUUUGACAUGGAUCGGGAGUGCUCAGAGAUGGGUGUGCCUCUUUUGGGGUCGGUUCACAGGUGGUGCAUGGCUGUCGCCAGCUCGUGUCGUGAGAUGUUGGGUUAAGUCCCGCAACGAGCGCAACCCUUGUUCACUGUUGCCAGCACGUUAUGGUGGGGACUCAGUGGAGACCGCCGGGGUCAACUCGGAGGAAGGUGGGGAUGACGUCAAGUCAUCAUGCCCCUUAUGUCCAGGGCUUCACGCAUGCUACAAUGGCUGGUACAGAGAGUGGCGAGCCUGUGAGGGUGAGCGAAUCUCGGAAAGUCGGUCUCAGUUCGGAUUGGGGUCUGCAACUCGACCUCAUGAAGUCGGAGUCGCUAGUAAUCGCAGAUCAGCAACGCUGCGGUGAAUACGUUCCCGGG
RNAcentral lists this ribosomal RNA (1343 nucleotides) under uncultured bacterium. RNAcentral's name for it is "16S ribosomal RNA". It matches the Rfam family "Bacterial small subunit ribosomal RNA", at positions 28 to 1378 of the family's 1533-position model. The record is from RNAcentral.